UGCAAGGUCGAGCGAGCGGAACCAACAGAUUUACUUCGGUAAUGACGUUGGGAAAGCGAGCGGCGGAUGGGUGAGUAACACGUGGGGAACCUGCCCCUAAGUCUGGGAUACCAUUUGGAAACAGGUGCUAAUACCGGAUAAUAAAGCAGAUCGCAUGAUCAGCUUUUGAAAGGCGGCGUAAGCUGUCGCUAAGGGAUGGCCCCGCGGUGCAUUAGCUAGUUGGUAAGGUAACGGCUUACCAAGGCGACGAUGCAUAGCCGAGUUGAGAGACUGAUCGGCCACAUUGGGACUGAGACACGGCCCAAACUCCUACGGGAGGCAGCAGUAGGGAAUCUUCCACAAUGGACGCAAGUCUGAUGGAGCAACGCCGCGUGAGUGAAGAAGGUUUUCGGAUCGUAAAGCUCUGUUGUUGGUGAAGAAGGAUAGAGGUAGUAACUGGCCUUUAUUUGACGGUAAUCAACCAGAAAGUCACGGCUAACUAC
Molecule: ribosomal RNA, 482 nt
Filed under: uncultured bacterium
Lineage: Bacteria
Description: bacterial SSU rRNA
Rfam family: Bacterial small subunit ribosomal RNA
Source: RNAcentral